ACGCUGGCGGCAGGCCUAACACAUGCAAGUCGAGCGGUAGCACAGGGAGCUUGCUCCUGGGUGACGAGCGGCGGACGGGUGAGUAAUGUCUGGGAAACUGCCUGAUGGAGGGGGAUAACUACUGGAAACGGUAGCUAAUACCGCAUAACGUCGCAAGACCAAAGAGGGGGACCUUCGGGCCUCUUGCCAUCAGAUGUGCCCAGAUGGGAUUAGCUAGUAGGUGGGGUAACGGCUCACCUAGGCGACGAUCCCUAGCUGGUCUGAGAGGAUGACCAGCCACACUGGAACUGAGACACGGUCCAGACUCCUACGGGAGGCAGCAGUGGGGAAUAUUGCACAAUGGGCGCAAGCCUGAUGCAGCCAUGCCGCGUGUAUGAAGAAGGCCUUCGGGUUGUAAAGUACUUUCAGCGGGGAGGAAGGCGAUAAGGUUAAUAACCUUGUCGAUUGACGUUACCCGCAGAAGAAGCACCGGCUAACUCCGUGCCAGCAGCCGCGGUAAUACGGAGGGUGCAAGCGUUAAUCGGAAUUACUGGGCGUAAAGCGCACGCAGGCGGUCUGUCAAGUCGGAUGUGAAAUCCCCGGGCUCAACCUGGGAACUGCAUUCGAAACUGGCAGGCUAGAGUCUUGUAGAGGGGGGUAGAAUUCCAGGUGUAGCGGUGAAAUGCGUAGAGAUCUGGAGGAAUACCGGUGGCGAAGGCGGCCCCCUGGACAAAGACUGAC
RNAcentral lists this ribosomal RNA (720 nucleotides) under Enterobacter sp. RNAcentral describes it as "bacterial SSU rRNA". It matches the Rfam family "Bacterial small subunit ribosomal RNA", at positions 33 to 744 of the family's 1533-position model. Lineage: Bacteria; Pseudomonadati; Pseudomonadota; Gammaproteobacteria; Enterobacterales; Enterobacteriaceae. The record is from RNAcentral.